RNAcentral lists this ribosomal RNA (823 nucleotides) under Colletotrichum sp. Its description in RNAcentral is "partial large subunit ribosomal RNA". It matches the Rfam family "Eukaryotic large subunit ribosomal RNA", at positions 77 to 929 of the family's 3401-position model. Lineage: Eukaryota; Fungi; Ascomycota; Sordariomycetes; Glomerellales; Glomerellaceae. The record is from RNAcentral.
GCCUCAGUAACGGCGAGUGAAGCGGCAACAGCUCAAAUUUGAAAUCUGGCCCCCCGGGUCCGAGUUGUAAUUUGCAGAGGAUGCUUUUGGCGCGGUGCCUUCCGAGUUCCCUGGAACGGGACGCCAUAGAGGGUGAGAGCCCCGUACGGUUGGACACCAAGCCUAUGUAAAGCUCCUUCGACGAGUCGAGUAGUUUGGGAAUGCUGCUCAAAAUGGGAGGUAUAUUUCUUCUAAAGCUAAAUACCGGCCAGAGACCGAUAGCGCACAAGUAGAGUGAUCGAAAGAUGAAAAGCACUUUGAAAAGAGGGUUAAACAGCACGUGAAAUUGUUAAAAGGGAAGCGCUUGUGACCAGACUUGCGUCCGGUGAAUCACCCAGCUCUCGCGGCUGGGGCACUUUGCCGGCUCAGGCCAGCAUCAGCUUGCCGUCGGGGACAAAAGCUUCGGGAACGUAGCUCUCUUCGGGGAGUGUUAUAGCCCGUUGCACAAUACCCUUCGGCGGGCUGAGGUACGCGCUCCGCAAGGAUGCUGGCGUAAUGGUCAUCAGCGACCCGUCUUGAAACACGGACCAAGGAGUCAACCUUAUGUGCGAGUGUUCGGGUGUCAAACCCCUACGCGUAAUGAAAGUGAACGCAGGUGAGAGCUUCGGCGCAUCAUCGACCGAUCCUGAUGUUCUCGGAUGGAUUUGAGUAAGAGCAUAUAGGGUUGGACCCGAAAGAAGGUGAACUAUGCGUGUAUAGGGUGAAGCCAGAGGAAACUCUGGUGGAGGCUCGCAGCGGUUCUGACGUGCAAAUCGAUCGUCAAAUAUGCGCAUGGGGGCGAAAG